RNAcentral lists this ribosomal RNA (1480 nucleotides) under uncultured bacterium. RNAcentral's name for it is "partial 16S ribosomal RNA". It matches the Rfam family "Bacterial small subunit ribosomal RNA". The record is from RNAcentral.
AGAGUUUGAUCAUGGCUCAGGAUGAACGCUAGCGGCAAGCUUAAUACAUGCAAGUCGAGGGGCAGCGCAGUGUAGCAAUACAUGGGCGGCGACCGGCAAACGGGUGCGGAACACGUACAGAACCUUCCUUCGAGCGGGGAAUAGCCCAGAGAAAUUUGGAUUAAUACCCCAUAGUAUAUUGGAGUGGCAUCACUCUGAUAUUAAAGAUUUAUCACUUGAAGAUGGCUGUGCGGCUGAUUAGAUAGUUGGCGGGGUAACGGCCCACCAAGUCUGCGAUCAGUAACUGGUGUGAGAGCACGACCAGUCACACGGGCACUGAGACACGGGCCCGACUCCUACGGGAGGCAGCAGUAAGGAAUAUUGGUCAAUGGACGAAAGUCUGAACCAGCUAUGCCGCGUGGAGGAUGAAGGCCCUCUGGGUUGUAAACUUCUUUUAUAUGGGACGAAAAAGGGUCUUUCUAGAUCAACUGACGGUACCAUGUGAAUAAGCACCGGCUAACUCCGUGCCAGCAGCCGCGGUAAUACGGAGGGUCCAAGCGUUAUCCGGAAUCAUUGGGUUUAAAGGGUCCGUAGGCGGUUUAAUAAGUCAGUGGUGAAAGCCCAUCGCUCAACGAUGGAACGGCCAUUGAUACUGUUAAACUUGAAUUAUUAGGAAGUAACUAGAAUAUGUAGUGUAGCGGUGAAAUGCUUAGAGAUUACAUGGAAUACCAAUUGCGAAGGCAGGUUACUACUAAUAUAUUGACGCUGAUGGACGAAAGCGUGGGGAGCGACCAGGAUUAGAUACCCUGGUAGUCCACGCCGUAAACGAUGGAUACUAGCUGUUCGGAGCAAUCUGAGUGGCUAAGCGAAAGUGAUAAGUAUCCCACCUGGGGAGUACGUUCGCAAGAAUGAAACUCAAAGGAAUUGACGGGGGCCCGCACAAGCGGUGGAGCAUGUGGUUUAAUUCGAUGAUACGCGAGGAACCUUACCAAGGCUUAAAUGGGAAACGACAGGUUUGGAAACAGACUUUUCUUCGGACGUUUUUCAAGGUGCUGCAUGGUUGUCGUCAGCUCGUGCCGUGAGGUGUCAGGUUAAGUCCUAUAACGAGCGCAACCCCUGUCGUUAGUUGCCAGCGAGUCAUGUCGGGAACUCUAACGAGACUGCCAGUGUAAACUGUGAGGAAGGUGGGGAUGACGUCAAAUCAUCACGGCCCUUACGCCUUGGGCCACACACGUGCUACAAUGGCCAGUACAGAGAGCAGCCACUUAGUGAUAAGGAGCGAAUCUUCAAAACUGGUCUCAGUUCGGAUCGGAGUCUGCAACUCGACUCCGUGAAGCUGGAAUCGCUAGUAAUCGGAUAUCAGCCAUGAUCCGGUGAAUACGUUCCCGGGCCUUGUACACACCGCCCGUCAAGCCAUGGAAGCUGGGGGUACCUGAAGUCGGUCGCCGCAAGGAGCUGCCUAGGGUAAAACUGGUAACUAGGGCUAAGUCGUAACAAGGUA